AGAGUUUGAUCAUGGCUCAGAUUGAACGCUGGCGGCAGGCCUAACACAUGCAAGUCGAGCGGUAGCACAGAGAGCUUGCUCUCGGGUGACGAGCGGCGGACGGGUGAGUAAUGUCUGGGAAGCUGCCUGAUGGAGGGGGAUAACUACUGGAAACGGUAGCUAAUACCGCAUAAUGUCGCAAGACCAAAGUGGGGGACCUUCGGGCCUCAUGCCAUCAGAUGUGCCCAGAUGGGAUUAGCUAGUAGGUGGGGUAACGGCUCACCUAGGCGACGAUCCCUAGCUGGUCUGAGAGGAUGACCAGCCACACUGGAACUGAGACACGGUCCAGACUCCUACGGGAGGCAGCAGUGGGGAAUAUUGCACAAUGGGCGCAAGCCUGAUGCAGCCAUGCCGCGUGUGUGAAGAAGGCCUUCGGGUUGUAAAGCACUUUCAGCGGGGAGGAAGGCGUUAAGGUUAAUAACCUUGGCGAUUGACGUUACCCGCAGAAGAAGCACCGGCUAACUCCGUGCCAGCAGCCGCGGUAAUACGGAGGGUGCAAGCGUUAAUCGGAAUUACUGGGCGUAAAGCGCACGCAGGCGGUCUGUCAAGUCGGAUGUGAAAUCCCCGGGCUCAACCUGGGAACUGCAUUCGAAACUGGCAGGCUAGAGUCUUGUAGAGGGGGGUAGAAUUCCAGGUGUAGCGGUGAAAUGCGUAGAGAUCUGGAGGAAUACCGGUGGCGAAGGCGGCCCCCUGGACAAAGACUGACGCUCAGGUGCGAAAGCGUGGGGAGCAAACAGGAUUAGAUACCCUGGUAGUCCACGCCGUAAACGAUGUCGAUUUGGAGGUUGUGCCCUUGAGGCGUGGCUUCCGGAGCUAACGCGUUAAAUCGACCGCCUGGGGAGUACGGCCGCAAGGUUAAAACUCAAAUGAAUUGACGGGGGCCCGCACAAGCGGUGGAGCAUGUGGUUUAAUUCGAUGCAACGCGAAGAACCUUACCUGGUCUUGACAUCCACAGAACUUUCCAGAGAUGGAUUGGUGCCUUCGGGAACUGUGAGACAGGUGCUGCAUGGCUGUCGUCAGCUCGUGUUGUGAAAUGUUGGGUUAAGUCCCGCAACGAGCGCAACCCUUAUCCUUUGUUGCCAGCGGUNGGCCGGGAACUCAAAGGAGACUGCCAGUGAUAAACUGGAGGAAGGUGGGGAUGACGUCAAGUCAUCAUGGCCCUUACGACCAGGGCUACACACGUGCUACAAUGGCAUAUACAAAGAGAAGCGACCUCGCGAGAGCAAGCGGACCUCAUAAAGUAUGUCGUAGUCCGGAUUGGAGUCUGCAACUCGACUCCAUGAAGUCGGAAUCGCUAGUAAUCGUAGAUCAGAAUGCUACGGUGAAUACGUUCCCGGGCCUUGUACACACCGCCCGUCACACCAUGGGAGUGGGUUGCAAAAGAAGUAGGUAGCUUAACCUUCGGGAGGGCGCUUACCACUUUGUGAUUCAUGACUGGGGUGAAGUCGUAACAAGGUAACCGUAGGGGAACCUGCGGUUGGAUCACCU
This 1527-nucleotide ribosomal RNA is filed under the name Klebsiella pneumoniae. Its description in RNAcentral is "bacterial SSU rRNA". It matches the Rfam family "Bacterial small subunit ribosomal RNA". The record is from RNAcentral. Lineage: Bacteria; Pseudomonadati; Pseudomonadota; Gammaproteobacteria; Enterobacterales; Enterobacteriaceae.